This 839-nucleotide ribosomal RNA is filed under the name Staphylococcus aureus. Its description in RNAcentral is "bacterial SSU rRNA". It matches the Rfam family "Bacterial small subunit ribosomal RNA", at positions 66 to 863 of the family's 1533-position model. Lineage: Bacteria; Bacillati; Bacillota; Bacilli; Caryophanales; Staphylococcaceae. The record is from RNAcentral.
GCGAGAUUGAGAGAUUUUGCUUCUCUGAUGUUAGCGGCGGACGGGUGAGUAACACGUGGAUAACCUACCUAUAAGACUGGGAUAACUUCGGGAAACCGGAGCUAAUACCGGAUAAUAUUUUGAACCGCAUGGUUCAAAAGUGAAAGACGGUCUUGCUGUCACUUAUAGAUGGAUUUCCGCGCUGCAUUAGCUAGUUGGUAAGGUAACGGCUUGAGAACCAAGGCAACGAUGCAUAGCCGACCUGAGAGGGUGAUCGGCCACACUGGAACUGAGACACGGUCCAGACUCCUACGGGAGGCAGCAGUAGGGAAUCUUCCGCAAUGGGCGAAAGCCUGACGGAGCAACGCCGCGUGAGUGAUGAACGUUGAGAGGUCUUCGGAUCGUAAAACUCUGUUAUUAGUUUUGGAAGAACAUAUGUGUAAGUAACUGUGCACAUCUUGACGGUACCUAAUCAGAAAGCCACGGCUAACUACGUGCCAGCAGCCGCGGUAAUACGUAGGUGGCAAGCGUUAUCCGGAAUUAUUGGGCGUAAAGCGCGCGUAGGCGGUUUUUUAAGUCUGAUGUGAAAGCCCACGGCUCAACCGUGGAGGGUCAUUGGAAACUGGAAAACUUGAGUGCAGAAGGAGAGAAGGAAAGUGGAAUUCCAUGUGUAGCGGUGAAAUGCGCAGAGAUAUGGAGGAACACCAGUGGCGAAGGCGACUUUCUGGUCUGUAACUGACGCUGAUGUGCGAAAGCGUGGGGAUCAAACAGGAUUAGAUACCCUGGUAGUCCACGCCGUAAACGAUGAGUGCUAAGUGUUAAGGGGGUUUCCGCCCCUUAGUGCUGCAGCUAACGAUUAA